This 448-nucleotide ribosomal RNA is filed under the name uncultured prokaryote. RNAcentral describes it as "bacterial SSU rRNA". It matches the Rfam family "Bacterial small subunit ribosomal RNA", at positions 355 to 795 of the family's 1533-position model. The record is from RNAcentral.
CUAAGAAUAUUCCGCAAUGGACGAAAGUCUGACGGAGCGACGCCGCGUGGAUGAAGAAGGCCGAAAGGUUGUAAAGUUCUUUUGCUAGGGGAGAAUAAGUGAGGGAGGGAAUGCCCUCAUGAUGACAAGGACUAGCGAAUAAGCCCCGGCCAACUACGUGCCAGCAGCCGCGGUAACACGUAGGGGUCGAGCGUUGUUCGGAAUUACUGGGCGUAAAGGGCAUGUAGGCGACUUGGUAAGCCUGGCGUGAAAGACUGCAGCUUAACUGUAGGGAUGCGGUGGGAACUGCUUAGCUUGAGUUACGGAGAGGGAGCUGGAAUUCCUGGUGUAGGGGUGAAAUCUGUAGAUAUCAGGAAGAACACCGAUGGCGAAGGCAAGCUUUUGGUCGAUAACUGACGCUGAGGUGCGAGAGCUAGGGAAUGAAAAUCGUCGAGAAACCCGUGUAAUC